Molecule: ribosomal RNA, 253 nt
Filed under: uncultured bacterium
Lineage: Bacteria
Description: partial 16S ribosomal RNA
Rfam family: Bacterial small subunit ribosomal RNA
Source: RNAcentral
UACAGAGGUCCCAAGCGUUGUUCGGAUUCACUGGGCGUAAAGGGUGCGUAGGUGGUAGGGUAAGUCUGAUGUGAAAUCUCCGAGCCUAACUCGGAAACUGCAUCGGAUACUAUCCUGCUCGAGGAAUGGAGGGGAGACUGGAAUACUUGGUGUAGCAGUGAAAUGCGUAGAUAUCAAGUGGAACACCAGUGGCGAAGGCGAGUCUCUAGACAUUUCCUGACACUGAGGCACGAAAGCCAGGGGAGCAAACGGG